RNAcentral lists this ribosomal RNA (253 nucleotides) under uncultured bacterium. Its description in RNAcentral is "partial 16S ribosomal RNA". It matches the Rfam family "Bacterial small subunit ribosomal RNA", at positions 524 to 776 of the family's 1533-position model. The record is from RNAcentral.
UACGAAGGGUGCAAGCGUUACUCGGAAUUACUGGGCGUAAAGCGUGCGUAGGUGGUGAGUUAAGUCUGUCGUGAAAGCCCCGGGCUCAACCUGGGAAUGGCGAUGGAUACUGGCUCGCUAGAGUGCGGUAGAGGAGAGUGGAAUUCCCGGUGUAGCAGUGAAAUGCGUAGAGAUCGGGAGGAACACCGGUGGCGAAGGCGGGUCUCUGGGCAGUAACUGACGCUGAGGAGCGAAAGCGUGGGGAGCGAACAGG